Molecule: ribosomal RNA, 303 nt
Filed under: uncultured bacterium
Lineage: Bacteria
Description: partial 16S ribosomal RNA
Rfam family: Bacterial small subunit ribosomal RNA
Source: RNAcentral
AGCAGUAGCCGCGUAAUACGUAGGUGGCAAGCGUUGUCCGGAAUUAUUGGGCGUAAAGGGCUCGCAGGCGGUUUCUUAAGUCUGAUGUGAAAGCCCCCGGCUCAACCGGGGAGGGUCAUUGGAAACUGGGAAACUUGAGUGCAGAAGAGGAGAGUGGAAUUCCACGUGUAGCGGUGAAAUGCGUAGAGAUGUGGAGGAACACCAGUGGCGAAGGCGACUCUCUGGUCUGUAACUGACGCUGAGGAGCGAAAGCGUGGGGAGCGAACAGGAUUAGAUACCCGGGUAGUCCCUGUCUCUUAUACC